Molecule: ribosomal RNA, 465 nt
Filed under: uncultured bacterium
Lineage: Bacteria
Description: bacterial SSU rRNA
Rfam family: Bacterial small subunit ribosomal RNA
Source: RNAcentral
GACGAACGCUGGCGGCGUGCCUAAUACAUGCAAGUAGAACGCACAGUUUAUACCGUAGCUUGCUACACCAUAAACUGUGAGUUGCGAACGGGUGAGUAACGCGUAGGUAACCUGCCUGGUAGCGGGGGAUAACUAUUGGAAACGAUAGCUAAUACCGCAUAAUAUUGAUUAUUGCAUGAUAAUUGAUUGAAAGAUGCUAUUGCAUCACUACCAGAUGGACCUGCGUUGUAUUAGCUAGUAGGUGAGGUAACGGCUCACCUAGGCGACGAUACAUAGCCGACCUGAGAGGGUGAUCGGCCACACUGGGACUGAGACACGGCCCAGACUCCUACGGGAGGCAGCAGUAGGGAAUCUUCGGCAAUGGACGAAAGUCUGACCGAGCAACGCCGCGUGAGUGAAGAAGGUUUUCGGAUCGUAAAGCUCUGUUGUAAGAGAAGAACGGGUGUGAGAGNGGAAAGUUCACAC